RNAcentral lists this ribosomal RNA (253 nucleotides) under uncultured bacterium. Its description in RNAcentral is "partial 16S ribosomal RNA". It matches the Rfam family "Bacterial small subunit ribosomal RNA", at positions 524 to 776 of the family's 1533-position model. The record is from RNAcentral.
UACGUAGGGGGCGAGCGUUGUCCGGAUUUAUUGGGCGUAAAGAGCUCGUAGGUGGUUUGUCGCGUUGUUCGUGAAAUCUCACGGCUUAACUGUGAGCGUGCGGGCGAUACGGGCAGACUAGAGUACUGCAGGGGAGACUGGAAUUCCUGGUGUAGCGGUGGAAUGCGCAGAUAUCAGGAGGAACACCGGUGGCGAAGGCGGGUCUCUGGGCAGUAACUGACGCUGAGGAGCGAAAGCGUGGGGAGCGAACAGG